AUUGAACGCUGGCGGCAUGGCUAAAACAUGCAAGUCGAACGAGUGGCGGAAGGGUGAGUACACGCAUCAACGUACCCCGGGUGGAGGAUAGGCAUGGGAAACUGUGCGUAAUACUUCAUGGGAGCGGCGAUGUACCUAUCAGGUAGUUGGCGGGGUAACGGCCCACCAAGCCGAAGACGGGUAGCCGGUAUGAGAGUACGGCCGGCCACAUCGAGACUGAGACACUGCUCGGACUCCUACGGGAGGCUGCAGUAACGAAUAUUCCGCAAUGCGCGAAAGCGUGACGGAGCAAUGCCGCGUGCAGGAUGAAGGCCUUCGCUGUGUAAACUGCUGUCAGGGGUGAUGAUCAGCCCCAGAGGAAGGGCCGGCUAAACUCGUGCCAGCAGCCGCGGUAAGACGAGUGGCCCAAGCGUUAGUCGGAAUCACUGGGCUUAAAGGGUGCGUAGGCGGAUGGGUAAGUGCCUUGUGAAAGCCCCCGGCUCAACCGGGGAAGUGCAGGGCAUACUGCUCGUCUGAGGAAGGUAGAGGCCGGUGGAACGAUAGGUGGAGCGGUGGAAUGCGUAGAGAUCUAUCGGAACGCCAAGUGUGAAGACAGCCGGCUGGGCCUUUCCUGGCGCUCAGGCACGAAAGCGUGGGGAGCAAACAGGAUUAGAUACCCUGGUAGUCCACGCCCUAAACGAUGCACACUAGACCGAUUGGUCGUAGAGAAAUUGAUAAGUG
Molecule: ribosomal RNA, 720 nt
Filed under: uncultured bacterium
Lineage: Bacteria
Description: bacterial SSU rRNA
Rfam family: Bacterial small subunit ribosomal RNA
Source: RNAcentral